This 253-nucleotide ribosomal RNA is filed under the name uncultured bacterium. Its description in RNAcentral is "partial 16S ribosomal RNA". It matches the Rfam family "Bacterial small subunit ribosomal RNA", at positions 524 to 776 of the family's 1533-position model. The record is from RNAcentral.
UACGUAGGGGGCAAGCGUUGUCCGGAAUCAUUGGGCGUAAAGCGCGCGUAGGCGGCCCGGUAAGUCCGUUGUGAAAGUCAAAGGCUCAACCUUUGAACGCCGAUGGAUACUGCCGGGCUAGAGUCCGGAAGAGGCGAGUGGAAUUCCAGGUGUAGCGGUGGAAUGCGCAGAUAUCAGGAGGAACACCAAUAGCGAAGGCAGCUCGCUGGGACGGUACUGACGCUGAGGCGCGAAAGCGUGGGGAGCGAACAGG